GACAGAGGGUGCAAACGUUGUUCGGAUUUACUGGGCGUAAAGCGUGUGUAGGCGGCUUGGCAAGUUGGAUGUGAAAGCCCACGGCUCAACCGUGGAAGCGCAUCCAAAACUGCUUCGCUCGAGUCUCGGAGAGGAAGGUGGAAUGCUUGGUGUAGAGGUGAAAUUCGUAGAUAUCAAGCAGAACACCCGCGGCGAAGGCGGCCUUCUGGACGAUGACUGACGCUGAGACACGAAAGCGUGGGGAGCAAACAGG
Molecule: ribosomal RNA, 253 nt
Filed under: uncultured bacterium
Lineage: Bacteria
Description: partial 16S ribosomal RNA
Rfam family: Bacterial small subunit ribosomal RNA
Source: RNAcentral